AUGGAUGCCCUCAAUGGGAUUGGCACUUUCUCCAUUGCUCCUGCACUCUGUUAUCAGCACUUCGGGUUCAUAAUGUACACACAGCAACAGAUGCCUUCCUCACUGGUCACCAGGUUCAAGGUCCCUCAUAUGUGUCAGGUGCAUAGUCACCAACAAAGGCCAACUUCACAUCAAUGGGUGGAUCGUACCUCGGCCUAAGCUCCAGGAUUGAUUGUGCUGUUAGAGUCACAGCUACAACCGGCUCAGGGAACCCAGUGGAAGAGGAGGUGGAGUGUGAGAGCCAAUUGGAAUGGAAGACAGUGAGGAAACAAGGCCUUCGAGACACAAGAGGACUGCUGAGCUCACAAAGACUGAGGCAGCACCCUCAGGACCUGCACAGGUCUAAGCUUGAUGCGAUCUGAGUACUGAGAGGGCAACUGGACACAAUUCUAUAUUGAUAACCCAGAAGCUUUCUCCAGUUGAUAAACUCUUUCAAAGGAAAAACUUGUUUUCUACCAUGGAGUGACACUGGAUAUAGAAACUACCGUUAACAGCAGACUCCAUGGCUCAGACUUCCAAUACAAUAUGAACUCAGUUGCAAUUUUUUGCAAGGUUUUUCGACUCAUAGUUCUUUGUCUGGGUACUUUUUCACCCUACAGAGAAUUUCUGUAUAUAUUAUCGUUUCUGAUUCUAGUGUUUUGAAUUUUCGCUGGGUCUAAAUAUCUCUGUCUCAGUGUCAGUAUGUGUUUCUCAUGAUUUUUCUUUGCUUCUCUUUUUCCUAU
RNAcentral lists this long non-coding RNA (761 nucleotides) under Mus musculus (house mouse). RNAcentral describes it as "RNA imprinted and accumulated in nucleus". Lineage: Eukaryota; Metazoa; Chordata; Mammalia; Rodentia; Muridae. The record is from RNAcentral.